This 544-nucleotide ribosomal RNA is filed under the name uncultured Ascomycota. RNAcentral's name for it is "SSU rRNA". It matches the Rfam family "Eukaryotic small subunit ribosomal RNA", at positions 548 to 1098 of the family's 1831-position model. The record is from RNAcentral. Lineage: Eukaryota; Fungi; Ascomycota.
UUGGAGGGCAAGUCUGGUGCCAGCAGCCGCGGUAAUUCCAGCUCCAAUAGCGUAUAUUAAAGUUGUUGUGGUUAAAAAGCUCGUAGUUGAACCUUGGGCCUGGCUGGCCGGUCCGCCUCACCGCGUGUACUGGUCCGGCCGGGCCUUUCCCUCUGUGGAACCCCAUGCCCUUCACUGGGUGUGGCGGGGAAACAGGACUUUUACUUUGAAAAAAUUAGAGUGCUCCAGGCAGGCCUAUGCUCGAAUACAUUAGCAUGGAAUAAUAGAAUAGGACGUGUGGUUCUAUUUUGUUGGUUUCUAGGACCGCCGUAAUGAUUAAUAGGGACAGUCGGGGGCAUCAGUAUUCAAUUGUCAGAGGUGAAAUUCUUGGAUUUAUUGAAGACUAACUACUGCGAAAGCAUUUGCCAAGGAUGUUUUCAUUAAUCAGGAACGAAAGUUAGGGGAUCGAAGACGAUCAGAUACCGUCGUAGUCUUAACCAUAAACUAUGCCGACUAGGGAUCGGACGAUGUUAUUUUUUGACUCGUUCGGCGCCUUACGGGAAAC